CUGAAAUAUGAUAUUUACAUAAGGAUUCAGACACCUACUCAGUAUUUUGUUGAAUCACCUUUGGCAGCGAUUACAGUCUUGAGUCUUCUUGGGUAUGACGCUACAAGCUUGGCACACCUGUAUUUGGGGAGUUUCUCCCAUUCUUCUCUGCAGAUCCUCUCAAGCUCUGCCAGGUUGGACGGGGAGCGUCGCUGCGCAGCUAUUUUCAGGAGACAUGGAGUACAAACAAAUCUUCUGCAAGAGGUCGAAGCAGUGUGUGGUUGAAGAAAGUGUCCACCUGGAGCGCAGAAAGGCCAGACAAGGAGCCAGAGACACAACUCCCAAACCCAACAUCCCUGCCAACAUCAACACAGCAACAAAGCCUGCUACACCAACUGCCAUUGUCCAACACAAGACGAGGUUUACCAGUGGAAGAACAUUCUGGAACCUGCCUGAAACAUUCAUCCAACACAACAUCCAUAUUCGGUUUGACCGAUGUUGUAGUUUAAAAUAGAAUGCCUAGUAUGCUCAUGCAUUGUGGUGUAGACAUUGCUAGCUCUUGUACAUACAGUGGCUUCGGAAAGUAUACAGAGGCCUUGACUUUUUCCAUAUUUUGUUACGCUACAGCCUUAUUCUAAAAUGGAUUUAAAAAAAAAAUGUUUUGUCUCUCAGCAAUCUGCGUACAAUAUCCCAUAAUGACAAAGUGAAAACAGGGUUUUUAGAAUUUUUUGCAAAUGUAUUUAAAAAUGAAAAACAGAAUAACUUAUUUACAUCAGUAUUCAGACCCUUUUGCUAUGAGACUCGAAAUUGAGCUCAGGUGAAUCCUGUUUCCAUUGAUCAUCCUUAAGAUGUUUCUACAACUUGAUUGGAGUCCACCUGUGGUAAAUUCAAUUGAUUGGACAUGAUUUGGAAAGGCACACACUGGUCUAUAUAAGGUCUCACAGUUCUCAGAGCAAAGCCAUGAGGUCGAAGUAAUUGCCCGUAGAGCUCCGAGACAGAAUUGUGUCGAGGCACAGUACUGGUGAAGGGUACCAAAAAAUGCCUGCAGCAUUGAAGGUCCCCAUGAACACAGUGGCCUCCAUCAAUCUUAAAUGGAAGAAGUUUGGAACCACCAAGACAUUUUGCCGCCCGGCCAAAAUGUUACACAGUAGGCCAUGUUACACAGUAGGCUGUGUUACACAGUAGGCUAUGUUAUACAUUAUACAGUAGACUAUGUUAUACAUUAUACAGUAGGCUAUGUUACACAGUAGACUGUUAUACAUUAUACAGUAGACU
Molecule: long non-coding RNA, 1254 nt
Filed under: Salmo salar (Atlantic salmon)
Lineage: Eukaryota; Metazoa; Chordata; Actinopteri; Salmoniformes; Salmonidae
Description: lncRNA (ENSSSAG00000100462.1)
Source: RNAcentral